Molecule: long non-coding RNA, 2366 nt
Organism: Lycium barbarum (goji berry)
Lineage: Eukaryota; Viridiplantae; Streptophyta; Magnoliopsida; Solanales; Solanaceae
Exons: 2
Source: RefSeq, a predicted model, not a curated record
AAAAUUAUUAAUAAAUUAAAAUAAGAUUUGAAAUAGAAUUUGUUCGGUUGAAAUUGGUCCGAAUUGGUUAUGAAAAAAGGGUAAACAACUAAGAGACGUGGAGAAUCGAACCCGCAGUAUUCUCGGUUGUGUCAAGGGUGUUUAAGGUCCUAUUUAGCUAUUAAAAACAUUAUUUGACCUAUAGACACAAUAUCAUUUUUUAGUGAAGGAUGUUCGACUGAUCACCCUUCCAUCACUGUAGUUCCGCCACUGAAUACACAUCAAAACUCGUCUUUAUUGAAAAAUUGAAGGGAGAUCCUUGUCCUUAGAAUAAAGAACUCACCCAUGUAACAAUUAACAAGUACAUGUGUCUGAAUGCACAAUCAUGUCGCUUUUCACUUAAAGUUGAGCUUCACGUCCACACUUGUGUAUAUUGAAAAAUUGACGAGAACCUAGAAGAAAAUUCUCACACGCAAAACAAUUAAUAAGUACACUUUUGAACGCUCAAGUCACGUAACAAUACACUUGUCCGAAUACUCAAGGCAUGUGGUCUCACUAACCAACCUCAAUUAAUUGAUCAUUUCAAUUUUCAAUCUUGCACUUAGCUUUUCUUACUUCUUUAGCUUAACUGCAAAUCUCUGAGCAUCUAACCAGCUAGCAUGAGUAUACUUACCUUCAAGAUUUAGUUUUCUUAGUUCCUUCUACUAAUUGACAAAUUUGAACACCAAAUUUAAACUAAUUAAGUUACCUAAAUGACUUAGAGUUAAGAUACACGUCAAAAAUCGUCUAUAUCUAAUGGAAGGAAAACAAUUUUCAUCAAAAAAAUAAACUCACACACAUAGCAAUUAACAAGUACACUUGUCUGAAUGCUCAAAGCACGUGGCCCAAGUGACCUUAACCAGUCCAUUUCCAUUUUGCCCUUGGAUUUUCUUACUUCUUCAACUUAAUUGCAAAUCUCUGAGCAUCUAAUCUUAGCUCGAGCAGACUUGGCUUCAAGAUUUAGUUUGCUAGUUCUCUCUACCAAAUAGCUAAUAUGGAAACCAAAUCUAAACAAAUUAAAUGACUUAAAAUUGAGAUACACGUAAAAUCAUCUUUAUUGACGAAUCGAAUAAACACUAUUUUGUUAAAGGUAAGAAAGAGUUCAUACGAGUAACAAUUAACAAGUACACUUGUCCGCAUGCUCAAGGCAUUGUGGCUUCACUAGGUAACCCCAACUAAUUAAUUUUCAUUUUGCUUUAGCCUUUUUAAAAAUCUCUGAAUGCCAAACCUGAGCUAACUGAGCUUCAACAUUUAGUUUGUAGUUCUUUCUAACUUACUUACUAACCAAUUUGUAUACCAACUCUAAACUAAUCAGGCUAACUAAAUGAUGUAAUGCUGAGAUACACAUCAAAAUUCGUUUAUAAUUAUCAAAGAAAAGUCCGUCCGUUCACAGUAAGAAAGAACUCACACGCGUAGCAGUUAAUAAGACACUUGUUUGAAUGCUCGAGGCGCGUGGACUCACUAAGUGUCCCAACUAAUUCAUUUAAGUUUGGCCUUUGUCAUUCUUACUUCUUAAACUUGGCUACAAAUCUCCAAGCAUCAAACCUAGGCUUGAGUAGACUUAGCUUCAAGAUUGAGCAGAAGGUUGCCACCAUCAUUAUGUUGUAGCUUCUCCAAACGUUGACGGCCUAAAGGACGUCAAAGAGAAGCACAAACAAGCAAGAGAUUCACCAACGGCGCAAAAAGGAAAUAGUUCCUGUGUUUUGGUUUCCCACGUGAUUUGACACUCUCCCUAAUAAUUCUACAAUACCAUCUUUCCGGAAAAAAAAAUCACUUCAACGUCACAAGAUUCUAUAAAUCCUCUAUUUUGCAAAUAAGACAUUGUUUGCCAUUUUAAAUCAGCUACUUAAAAGCUCCACAUUCCUUGCCUCUUACCAUUAACGGCAAUCCAACAAACAAUUUAACAUGCCUAUGGAUUAUGAUGUUCAUGAACAUGGUAGUAGCUCAAGUACCACGGGCCACAUCGUCGAUGGUUGCGUUGCGAUUUUCUUCGUGUGUAUGGUUCUCUUUUGGCUGUUCAAAUGCUGCUGCGCAAGUCUACAAACGGAAAAGACUGAACAGCCAUCAACUGCACCACCUGAUGAUCGACAGGAUCAUAGUAUGCUUGCCAUCAUGCCCGGGGACCAACAUCCAACCUACAUAGCAAUGGCGUCUAUGUCUCCACCUCCGCAUACUCUAUGAAGCUUGAUUAACUUUUAGAUCUUAUUUUAUUGUACUGUUCCCAAGCGGGAUAAAGGAGGAGGAUUGUACUAAGCGGCCUAAGACGGUCUUUGGUUGGCUUUUCAAAAAUAGCUUGUAAGUUGUAAAAGCUAAAACCCAUAAGUUUAAAAUUCUCAACUUUUUGCUUU